Polypterus senegalus (gray bichir) is the source of this 895-nucleotide long non-coding RNA. RefSeq lists it as uncharacterized. Lineage: Eukaryota; Metazoa; Chordata; Cladistia; Polypteriformes; Polypteridae. The transcript is spliced from 3 exons. The record is from RefSeq and is a predicted model, not a curated record.
CUGCAUACAGAUCUUACACUGCAGGGAGUCACAGACUGUGCCCUGCUGACAAGGCAGAAGAGCUCAGAACGCUAAAUGAGAUGCAUGCAUAUGUGAGACAGAGGGAGAGAGAUGAAGGAGGUGUGUGAAGAAGAGAAAAUUAAAUGAAGUGAACGAGGAUUAAGCCUCUGGGAGUUCGUUAUGGGGAUAUGUCAGCAACCGUGGGAGAUUUUAAGGAGUCAAGACACAGAGGAAGGAAGAGUCAGCAUUGCGAAAUGAGAGACUGCGUAUCGUAGAGGGGACCUCAGAUGCCACAUGGGCUGGACGGGCAUCCCGGCCAGAAGAGAGGAUGGUUCCUUACCCGUACUGGAGGUUCCUGACAGGCAGAUAGGCAUCCCGGCCAGGGUGGAGAAAGGGAUCAGACCUGGAAGGACAGCCCACUGAAAAGAGAAGAUGUCGCUGGGGAUUUUUCACUCCCCUAGCAUGCUAGAUGGCAGCGGCCCUGGAUAUCAGUGCCCAGUGGGAAACCAGCAGGGCAUGCCAGAGAUGUAGUCCAGUAGAGCAACCCUGCCAGGGUCACUGGGUGCUACAAGAGGGUGUUGCAUGGGGUCAAGCUCCCUGUUAUAAUGGACUUUCACAUGACCCGGAAGUGCUUCCAUUGUGUAAUCGCCCUGGCACUGAAAGUACUCUCAGGUUUAUAAUAAAAGGGACCACACUCCCUUUUCCAGACGAAUCGGAGCUAAAAAGAGGGCAUGGAGCAACACUUGGGUGUAGGAGGGCAGUGUGGUAGAAGUGUCAUUGAGAGAAAGGUAUUGUGGAGAGAGAAAACUUGUGUCUUUGUGCCUUUUUCACCUUUUUGGAAGAAGUGGUUUAAUAAACGUUUCAUUAGUUGAACCCGGGACUCACUGUGUGUUCG